GGAGGUGUUUCCGGGUCUGGUGACCGGCACGGUCUUCAAAACCGUUGAGGCGGGCUGCGCUCGCCUGGCGAGUUCGAUUCUCGUCCACCUCCGCCA
Molecule: transfer RNA, 96 nt
Filed under: Actinomadura darangshiensis
Lineage: Bacteria; Bacillati; Actinomycetota; Actinomycetes; Streptosporangiales; Thermomonosporaceae
Description: tRNA-Sec
Rfam family: Selenocysteine transfer RNA
Source: RNAcentral